RNAcentral lists this ribosomal RNA (538 nucleotides) under uncultured bacterium. RNAcentral's name for it is "bacterial SSU rRNA". It matches the Rfam family "Bacterial small subunit ribosomal RNA", at positions 164 to 717 of the family's 1533-position model. The record is from RNAcentral.
UAAUACCGGAUGACGUCGGACCGUCGCAUGGCGGACUGACGAAAGGGUUACCGGAUCAGGAGGGCCUCGCGUCCUAUCAGCUUGUUGGUGGGGUAACGGCCUACCAAGGCAUCGACGGGUAGCUGGUCUGAGAGGAUGAUCAGCCACACUGGGACUGAGACACGGCCCAGACUCCUACGGGAGGCAGCAGUGGGGAAUCUUGCGCAAUGGGCGAAAGCCUGACGCAGCAACGCCGCGUGCGGGAAGAAGGCCUUCGGGGUUGUAAACCGCUUUCAGAAGGAACGAAACUGACGGUACUUUCAGAAGAAGGUGCGGCCAACUACGUGCCAGCAGCCGCGGUGACACGUAGGCACCAAGCGUUGUCCGGAUUUAUUGGGCGUAAAGAGCUCGUAGGCGGUUCAGUAAGUCGGGUGUGAAACCUUUGGGCUUAACCCAAAGCGUGCACUCGAUACUGCUGUGACUGGAGUUCGGUAGGGGAGCGGGGGAAUUCCUAGUGUAGCGGUGAAAUGCGCAGAUAUUAGGAGGAACACCGGUGGCG